RNAcentral lists this transfer RNA (66 nucleotides) under Entemnotrochus rumphii. RNAcentral describes it as "tRNA-Lys". The record is from RNAcentral. Lineage: Eukaryota; Metazoa; Mollusca; Gastropoda; Pleurotomariida; Pleurotomariidae.
UUCUAGGUGGCCGAGGAGUUAGGCUUUAAACUUUUAAUUUAAAAACGAUCAUUUGAUCCCUAGAAU